Molecule: ribosomal RNA, 207 nt
Filed under: uncultured bacterium
Lineage: Bacteria
Description: partial 16S ribosomal RNA
Rfam family: Bacterial small subunit ribosomal RNA
Source: RNAcentral
UAUGUAGGCGGAUUAAUAAGUUUGAAGUGAAAUCCUAUAGCUUAACUAUAGAACUGCUUUGAAAACUGUUAAUCUAGAAUGUGGGAGAGGUAGAUGGAAUUUCUGGUGUAGGGGUAAAAUCCGUAGAGAUCAGAAGGAAUACCGAUUGCGAAGGCGAUCUACUGGAACAUUAUUGACGCUGAGAUGCGAAAGCGUGGGGAGCAAACA